CGACUAUAAAAUUUUAAAAUGUUUCCAGGUUGAUUUUUUGUAUGGCAAGAAACGAUCAUUCAGGCUAUCCAUUGAAAUGGUUUAAGGAUCAAAAUGCUACAAGACAUGCUUAUGAAUGUGCUAUAUGUUUGGAAGUUUUGAAAGAUCCCGUCCAAGUCCGUGAUUGUGGACAUCAAUUUUGUGCUCUCUGUAUUGAUGAUAUUCUCAAGUUAGUUUCACUUUCAAUAUUCUUCUUUGACAUUACACAGCA
This is a non-coding RNA of Paramuricea clavata, 250 nucleotides long. The record is from the annotation of a GenBank genome assembly. Lineage: Eukaryota; Metazoa; Cnidaria; Anthozoa; Malacalcyonacea; Plexauridae.